GAAACCCUUGGGUCAUUGAUCUUCGAGCAUAUGUGGAGGGGAUUCUCUCGACGUGCUUUAGGAAGUCUCGACAGUCACGAUAAAUGGCUUUCGAUCCUUCCAACCCUUCUACAAGGAGGUGUCUUCCUCCACUUCUCUUGCUUUGGGUUAAAGCAGCUGGGUUGAGAGAAGUCUCAUGUUGAUCAAUGUUUUGAUGAUUAGCUCGUUCCUCGUCAAGGAUACCCAUGUCGAAGAAAUGUGACCCUCCGUGUUGGGGGGCACCCAGAUGAUGGUUGAUGUCCACAGGGCAACAAGCUCGCG
This 300-nucleotide long non-coding RNA is filed under the name Malus domestica (apple). RNAcentral's name for it is "long non-coding RNA (MDOM_LNC019323)". The record is from RNAcentral. Lineage: Eukaryota; Viridiplantae; Streptophyta; Magnoliopsida; Rosales; Rosaceae.